GUAUUAAGAAUUAUGUUAUUCAAAAUAGCUUAAGACAAAAGAUUAAAAUAAAAAAGGUUGGUAUUAUGCCAACGCGACGAAUGAACGACACGCCAGCAAACAUUGCACACAAGGUGAGUACUUGUUUAAAAAGUGCAGUAGAACACUUAUUAUGAAUGAUCCUUCCGCAGGUUCACCUACGGAAA
This 185-nucleotide unclassified non-coding RNA is filed under the name uncultured fungus. RNAcentral's name for it is "sequence contains ITS1, 5.8S rRNA gene". The record is from RNAcentral. Lineage: Eukaryota; Fungi.